Small nucleolar RNA from Octodon degus (degu), 83 nucleotides. The record is from Ensembl. Lineage: Eukaryota; Metazoa; Chordata; Mammalia; Rodentia; Octodontidae.
UGGCCCCUGUGAUGUCCAGCCUGGGAUUUGAUCUGAGGACACAGUGUCCUGGAACCUUUGACACUUGUGGGUCUGAAGGGCCC